GACGAACGCUGGCGGCGUGCUUAACACAUGCAAGUCGAGCGGAAAGGCCCUUUCGGGGGUACUCGAGCGGCGAACGGGUGAGUAACACGUGAGUAAUCUGCCCUGGACUUCGGGAUAGCUUCGGGAAACCGAGAUUAAUACCGGAUAUGACAUUGUCUCGCAUGGGAUGGUGUGGAAAGUUUUUUCGGUUCAGGAUGUGCUCGCGGCCUAUCAGCUUGAUGGUGGGGUAAUGGCCUACCAUGGCUUUGACGGGUAGCCGGCCUGAGAGGGUGACCGGUCACACUGGGACUGAGACACGGCCCAGACUCCUACGGGAGGCAGCAGUGGGGAAUAUUGGACAAUGGGCGGAAGCCUGAUCCAGCAACGCCGCGUGAGGGAUGACGGCCUUCGGGUUGUAAACCUCUUUCACCAACGACGAAGGUUCGGGUUUUCUCGGAUUGACGGUAGGUGGAGAAGAAGCACCGGCCAACUACGUGCCAGCAGCCGCCGUAACAC
Molecule: ribosomal RNA, 495 nt
Filed under: uncultured bacterium
Lineage: Bacteria
Description: bacterial SSU rRNA
Rfam family: Bacterial small subunit ribosomal RNA
Source: RNAcentral